CCUACGGGUGGCAGCAGUGGGGGAUAUUGCACAAUGGGGGAAACCCUGAUGCAGCGACGCCGCGUGAGUGAAGAAGUAUUUCGGUAUGUAAAGCUCUAUCAGCAGGGAAGAAAAUGACAGUGCCUGACCAAGAAGCCCCGGCUAACUACGUGCCAGCAGCCGCGGUAAUACGUAGGGGGCAAGCGUUAUCCGGAUUUACUGGGGGUAAAGGGAGCGUAGACGGUUAUGUAAGUCUGGAGUUAAAGCCAGGUGCCCAACCCCGGGACUGCUUUGGAAACUGUGUACCUGGAGUAGAGGAGGGGCAGGUGGAAUUCCUGGUGUAGCGGUGAAAGGCGGAGAGAUCAGGAGGAACACCGGUGGCGAAGGCGGCCUGCUGGACGGAAACUGACGUUGAGGCGCGAAAGCGUGGGGAGCAAACAGGAUUAGAGACCCCAGUAGUC
This 440-nucleotide ribosomal RNA is filed under the name uncultured bacterium. RNAcentral's name for it is "partial 16S ribosomal RNA". It matches the Rfam family "Bacterial small subunit ribosomal RNA", at positions 338 to 795 of the family's 1533-position model. The record is from RNAcentral.